This 305-nucleotide ribosomal RNA is filed under the name uncultured bacterium. RNAcentral's name for it is "bacterial SSU rRNA". It matches the Rfam family "Bacterial small subunit ribosomal RNA", at positions 29 to 334 of the family's 1533-position model. The record is from RNAcentral.
AACGAACGCUGGCGGUAUGCUUAACACAUACAAGUCGAACGAGAAAGCUUCUUCGGAAGUGAUUAAAGUGGCGCACGGGUGAGUAACACGUAGAUAACCUACCCUUAAGUCCGGGAUAACUUUCUGAAAAGAGGGCUAAUACCGGAUAAUACUAGAGAUCUAGUGUUUUCUAGUUGAAAGAUUUAUCGCUGAAGGAUGGGUCUGCGUACCAUUAGCUGGUUGGUAGGGUAAAGGCUUACCAAGGCAUUGAUGGUUAGCGGGUCUGAGAGGAUGAUCCGCCACACUGGAACUGAGACACGGUCCAG